CGACCGGGUUGGGGAUGCUGACGGCCUCACCCGUGCUCGUGCCCUGGGCGCUGGAGCCGACAAGCUGGCCCGAGGGGUUGUAGACCUCCAGGUCGA
RNAcentral lists this transfer RNA (96 nucleotides) under Deinococcus aetherius. RNAcentral describes it as "tRNA-Thr". Lineage: Bacteria; Thermotogati; Deinococcota; Deinococci; Deinococcales; Deinococcaceae. The record is from RNAcentral.